CGCGUAGGCGGCCAAUUAAGUCAAAUGUGAAAUCCCCGAGCUUAACUUGGGAAUUGCAUUCGAUACUGGUUGGCUAGAGUGUGGGAGAGGAUGGUAGAAUUCCAGGUGUAGCGGUGAAAUGCGUAGAGAUCUGGAGGAAUACCGAUGGCGAAGGCAGGUUACUAUGUCUUAACUGACGCUGAUGGACGAAAGCGUGGGGAGCGAACAGGAUUAGAUACCCCGGUA
Molecule: ribosomal RNA, 225 nt
Filed under: uncultured Acinetobacter sp.
Lineage: Bacteria; Pseudomonadati; Pseudomonadota; Gammaproteobacteria; Moraxellales; Moraxellaceae
Description: partial 16S ribosomal RNA
Rfam family: Bacterial small subunit ribosomal RNA
Source: RNAcentral